This 68-nucleotide transfer RNA is filed under the name Salmo salar (Atlantic salmon). It matches the Rfam family "tRNA". Rfam says of the family: Transfer RNA (tRNA) molecules are approximately 80 nucleotides in length. Their secondary structure includes four short double-helical elements and three loops (D, anti-codon, and T loops). Lineage: Eukaryota; Metazoa; Chordata; Actinopteri; Salmoniformes; Salmonidae. The record is from Rfam by way of RNAcentral.
CCCUGUAGCUCAGUUGGUAUAGCAUGGUGUUUGCAACGCCAGGGUUGUGGGUUCGAUUCCCACAGGGG